RNAcentral lists this transfer RNA (60 nucleotides) under Ornithodoros erraticus. RNAcentral describes it as "tRNA-Phe". It matches the Rfam family "tRNA". Rfam says of the family: Transfer RNA (tRNA) molecules are approximately 80 nucleotides in length. Their secondary structure includes four short double-helical elements and three loops (D, anti-codon, and T loops). Lineage: Eukaryota; Metazoa; Arthropoda; Arachnida; Ixodida; Argasidae. The record is from RNAcentral.
AUCUUUAUAGUUUAAGGAAAAUAUGACACUGAAAAUGUCAAGAUAUUUUUAUUAAGGAUA